RNAcentral lists this ribosomal RNA (606 nucleotides) under Trichosporon asahii. RNAcentral's name for it is "partial large subunit ribosomal RNA". It matches the Rfam family "Eukaryotic large subunit ribosomal RNA", at positions 56 to 651 of the family's 3401-position model. Lineage: Eukaryota; Fungi; Basidiomycota; Tremellomycetes; Trichosporonales; Trichosporonaceae. The record is from RNAcentral.
GAAAAGAAACUAACAAGGAUUCCCCUAGUAACGGCGAGUGAAGCGGGAAGAGCUCAAAUUUGAAAUCUGGCAGUCUUCGAUUGUCCGAGUUGUAAUCUAUAGAGGCGUUUUCCGUGCCGGACCGUGUCCAAGUCUCCUGGAAAGGAGUAUCAAAGAGGGUGAUAAUCCCGUACUUAACACGACCACCGGUGCUCUGUGAUACGUCUUCUACGAGUCGAGUUGUUUGGGAAUGCAGCUCAAAAUGGGUGGUGAAUUCCAUCUAAAGCUAAAUAUUGGCGAGAGACCGAUAGCGAACAAGUACCGUGAGGGAAAGAUGAAAAGCACUUUGGAAAGAGAGUUAAACAGUACGUGAAAUUGUUGAAAGGGAAACGAUUGAAGUCAGUCGUGUUCUUUGGAUUCAGCCAGUUCUGCUGGUCUACUUCCUUGGAACGGGUCAACAUCAGUUUUGUCCGGUGGAUAAAGGUAGUAGGAAUGUGACUUCUCCGGAAGUGUUAUAGCCUAUUAUCACAUACACUGGGUGAGACUGAGGACUGCAGCUCGCCUUUAUGGCCGGCCUUCGGGCACGUUCGAGCUUAGGAUGUUGACAUAAUGGCUUUAAACGACCCG